Long non-coding RNA from Caretta caretta (loggerhead turtle), 435 nucleotides. RefSeq lists it as uncharacterized. NCBI's taxonomy places the organism in Eukaryota, Metazoa, Chordata, Testudines, Cheloniidae. The record is from RefSeq and is a predicted model, not a curated record.
CAGGGACGGAAUUGGUGUCUAUCCUGAUUAUACUUCAUGUCUCCUGGAAUCUUCAGAGGUUGAAAGGAAACUUCAGCAGAUGUCACGAGCCUCGAUCAGAAGAAGGAGGCGGAAGAGGAAGAAGAGAAGGGACUCGCUUCACUCCUUACCUUGGAGACAGCUGACGGCGGAGCCACACAAAUCCUCCAGUGACCGGCAAACCCACAGGAUAGUUGGAAAAUUUCUUUUAGAGAAGAAAGCCUGGCGUCGCUGGGAUACAAUGUGUAUGGCAAGCAACCAAGCAUUAAGAAUGACAUGAGAGACUAAUAGGUGAGAAGAAACUUGGAGAGAACCGCCGAUUUCAAACACUGCAAUGGAAAAGGAGGAAGGUGGUGAGAUCUGCAACAGAAAAGGAGGAUAGUGGGGGGAGGGAUAGCUCAGUGGUUUGAGCAUUGG